RNAcentral lists this ribosomal RNA (549 nucleotides) under Asterionellopsis glacialis. Its description in RNAcentral is "partial Bacterial small subunit ribosomal RNA". It matches the Rfam family "Bacterial small subunit ribosomal RNA", at positions 522 to 1069 of the family's 1533-position model. Lineage: Eukaryota; Bacillariophyta; Plagiogrammaphyceae; Rhaphoneidales; Asterionellopsidaceae. The record is from RNAcentral.
AUUACGGAGGGGGUUAGCGUUGUUCGGAAUUACUGGGCGUAAAGCGCGCGUAGGCGGAUUAGUCAGUUAGAGGUGAAAUCCCAGGGCUCAACCCUGGAACUGCCUUUAAUACUGCUAGUCUUGAGUUCGAGAGAGGUGAGUGGAAUUCCGAGUGUAGAGGUGAAAUUCGUAGAUAUUCGGAGGAACACCAGUGGCGAAGGCGGCUCACUGGCUCGAUACUGACGCUGAGGUGCGAAAGUGUGGGGAGCAAACAGGAUUAGAUACCCUGGUAGUCCACGCCGUAAACGAUGAGUGCUAAGUGUUAGGGGGUUUCCGCCCCUUAGUGCUGCAGCUAACGCAUUAAGCACUCCGCCUGGGGAGUACGACCGCAAGGUUGAAACUCAAAGGAAUUGACGGGGGCCCGCACAAGCGGUGGAGCAUGUGGUUUAAUGCGAAGCAACGCGCAGAACCUUACCUACGCUUGACAUGCCUGGACGACUCCGAGAGAUCGGUUUCUCCCUUCGGGGCCAGUGCACAGGUGCUGCAUGGCUGUCGUCAGCUCGUGUCGUG